AGAUUGCUCCUUCCUCUGCUAUUCCUGAAAGUGCUUGCACUCUCAGGGACCUAAGAGUAGAAGGAUCCACGGGAAGGCUGAGACUGCCACCGCAACAUUCGCAUGUUUGGAGAGACUGCCUCACACUCGGAGGCACUAAUGCAGUGCACAACAUUCUCAGUGGUGAAAUUUUCCACAGCUGGGGCUGUAGGAGGACUUAUGUUGUGGUUUAAGAGCUUCCUACAGCCCUUGUAAACCUAUGGUGGAUCUUUCCAAACAUAAAGAUUUUUUGUUGUUGUUCUGGAGAGCUAUGCAGAACUUAGGAAAUGUUUGAAAAAAAGAAUGAGCUAAAUGAGGAAGACGGGAAGACAAAGAGAGAAAAUGCCAAUGCUUAAUUUAAAGAUGAGGACUCUGAUAGACCUAACAGAUGCUGUGUCCAUCCUGAGAUAAUGAUGAUGUUCUUGGGGAUGGACCCCACAUCACCCCACAUGACAGACUCAUGUAACAGACUCACUCUCCCACCUGUGGCCAGGGCAUCUGGGUACUUGGAUUGGCAGCCUCAUCAGGACCUCAUGAAGAGAAGGAAAUUAUCCCCCUUAAAAGGGGUUCUCUUAU
RNAcentral lists this long non-coding RNA (594 nucleotides) under Pan troglodytes (chimpanzee). Its description in RNAcentral is "lincRNA". The record is from RNAcentral. Lineage: Eukaryota; Metazoa; Chordata; Mammalia; Primates; Hominidae.